RNAcentral lists this ribosomal RNA (404 nucleotides) under uncultured bacterium. RNAcentral describes it as "bacterial SSU rRNA". It matches the Rfam family "Bacterial small subunit ribosomal RNA", at positions 355 to 776 of the family's 1533-position model. The record is from RNAcentral.
UGAGGAAUCUUGGACAAUGGGGGAAACCCUGAUCCAGCGAUGCCGCGUGAAUGAAGAAGGCCUUCGGGUUGUAAAGUUCUUUCACUCGUGACGAUAAUGACGGUAGCGAGAAAAGAAGCUCCGGCUAACUCUGUGCCAGCAGCCGCGGUAAGACAGAGGGAGCUAGCGUUGUUCGGAAUGACUGGGCGUAAAGGGUGCGUAGGCGGUUAUUUAAGUAAGGUGUUAAAGCCCUGGGCUCAACCCAGGAAUUGCGCUUUAAACUGGGUGACUUGAGUGUGGCAGAGGAAAACGGAAUUCCUAGUGUAGAGGUGAAAUUCGUAGAUAUUAGGAGGAACACCAGAGGCGAAGGCGGUUUUCUGGGCCAUUACUGACGCUGAGGCACGAAAGCGUGGGGAGCAAACAGG